AUCCACCUGACGAGUCCCAAAUAGGACGAAACGCGCAUUCUGGAU
This 45-nucleotide non-coding RNA is filed under the name Schistosoma mattheei. The record is from RNAcentral. Lineage: Eukaryota; Metazoa; Platyhelminthes; Trematoda; Strigeidida; Schistosomatidae.